This 224-nucleotide ribosomal RNA is filed under the name uncultured bacterium. Its description in RNAcentral is "partial 16S ribosomal RNA". It matches the Rfam family "Bacterial small subunit ribosomal RNA", at positions 107 to 334 of the family's 1533-position model. The record is from RNAcentral.
UGAGUAAUACAUCGGAACGUGUCUUCUAGGGGGGGAUAACUGCCCGAAAGGGCAGCUAAUACCGCAUGAGACCUGAGGGUGAAAGCGGGGGAUCGCAAGACCUCGCGCUGGAAGAGCGGCCGAUGUCCGAUUAGCUAGUUGGUGAGGUAAAGGCUCACCAAGGCGACGAUCGGUAGCUGGUCUGAGAGGACGACCAGCCACACUGGGACUGAGACACGGCCCAG